GGGCCCGUGGCGUAGCUUGGAUACAAUCUCUUGCCAAAAAGCGCGUCGGCCCUCUAAGCCGGAGACCCUGGGUUCGAAUCCCAGCGGGCCCG
This 92-nucleotide transfer RNA is filed under the name Candidatus Bathyarchaeota archaeon. Its description in RNAcentral is "tRNA-Arg". It matches the Rfam family "tRNA". From Rfam's summary of the family: Transfer RNA (tRNA) molecules are approximately 80 nucleotides in length. Their secondary structure includes four short double-helical elements and three loops (D, anti-codon, and T loops). Lineage: Archaea; Thermoproteati; Candidatus Bathyarchaeota. RNAcentral also lists the same sequence under 1 other name. The record is from RNAcentral.